ACGAACGCUGGCGGCGUGCUUCACCCCUGCCAGUCGAACGGAAAGGCCCUGCUUGCAGGGUACUCGAGUGGCGAACGGGUGAGUAACACGUGGGUGAUCUGCCCUGCACUUCGGGAUAAGCCUGGGAAACUGGGUCUAAUACCGGAUAGGAGCCAUUUUUAGUGUGAUGGUUGGAAAGUUUUUUCGGUGUAGGAUGAGCUCGCGGCCUAUCAGCUUGUUGGUGGGGUAAUGGCCUACCAAGGCGGCGACGGGUAGCCGGCCUGAGAGGGUGGACGGCCACAUUGGGACUGAGAUACGGCCCAGACUCCUACGGGAGGCAGCAGUGGGGAAUAUUGCACAAUGGGCGCAAGCCUGAUGCAGCGACGCCGCGUGGGGGAUGACGGCCUUCGGGUUGUAAACUCCUUUCGCUAGGGACGAAGCUUUUUGUGACGGUACCUAGAUAAGAAGCACCGGCUAACUACGUG
This 464-nucleotide ribosomal RNA is filed under the name uncultured bacterium. Its description in RNAcentral is "partial 16S ribosomal RNA". It matches the Rfam family "Bacterial small subunit ribosomal RNA", at positions 29 to 507 of the family's 1533-position model. The record is from RNAcentral.